RNAcentral lists this transfer RNA (71 nucleotides) under bacterium 1XD42-54. It matches the Rfam family "tRNA". From Rfam's summary of the family: Transfer RNA (tRNA) molecules are approximately 80 nucleotides in length. Their secondary structure includes four short double-helical elements and three loops (D, anti-codon, and T loops). The record is from Rfam by way of RNAcentral.
GCUCCUUGGUCAAGCGGUUAAGACAUCGCCCUUUCACGGCGGUAACACGAGUUCGAUUCUCGUAGGAGUCA